ACUCCUACGGGAGGCAGCAGUAGGGAAUCUUCCACAAUGGACGAAAGUCUGAUGGAGCAACGCCGCGUGAGUGAUGAAGGUUUUCGGAUCGUAAAACUCUGUUGUAAGGGAAGAACAAGUACGAGAGGGAAUGCUCGUACCUUGACGGUACCUUGCGAGAAAGCCACGGCUAACUACGUGCCAGCAGCCGCGGUAAU
RNAcentral lists this ribosomal RNA (197 nucleotides) under uncultured Exiguobacterium sp. RNAcentral's name for it is "partial 16S ribosomal RNA". It matches the Rfam family "Bacterial small subunit ribosomal RNA", at positions 335 to 524 of the family's 1533-position model. The record is from RNAcentral. Lineage: Bacteria; Bacillati; Bacillota; Bacilli; Caryophanales.